This 73-nucleotide transfer RNA is filed under the name Camelus bactrianus (Bactrian camel). It matches the Rfam family "tRNA". Rfam says of the family: Transfer RNA (tRNA) molecules are approximately 80 nucleotides in length. Lineage: Eukaryota; Metazoa; Chordata; Mammalia; Artiodactyla; Camelidae. RNAcentral also lists the same sequence under 2 other names. The record is from Rfam by way of RNAcentral.
GAGGGUAUAGCUCAAGUGGUAGAGCACAUGCUUAGCAAGGACGAGGUCCUGGGUUCAAUCCCCAGUACCUCCU